This 398-nucleotide ribosomal RNA is filed under the name uncultured bacterium. RNAcentral's name for it is "partial 16S ribosomal RNA". It matches the Rfam family "Bacterial small subunit ribosomal RNA", at positions 523 to 918 of the family's 1533-position model. The record is from RNAcentral.
AUACGUAGGGUGCGAGCGUUGUCCGGAAUUACUGGGCGUAAAGAGCUCGUAGGUGGUUUGUCGCGUCGUCUGUGAAAUUCCGGGGCUUAACUCCGGGCGUGCAGGCGAUACGGGCAUAACUUGAGUACUGUAGGGGAGACUGGAAUUCCUGGUGUAGCGGUGAAAUGAGCAGAUAUCAGGAGGAACACCGGUGGCGAAGGCGGGUCUCUGGGCAGUAACUGACGCUGAGGAGCGAAAGCAUGGGUAGCGAACAGGAUUAGAUACCCUGGUAGUCCAUGCCGUAAACGGUGGGCGCUAGGUGUAGGGGUCUUCCACGACUUCUGUGCCGUAGCUAACGCAUUAAGCGCCCCGCCUGGGGAGUACGGCCGCAAGGCUAAAACUCAAAUGAAUUGACGGGG